ACUCAAAUGAAUUGACGGGGACCCGCACAAGCAGUGGAUCAUGUGGUUUAAUUCGACAAUAAACGAGGAACCUCACCUAGACUUGACAUUGAUAGAAUUCGCCAGAAAUGGCUUAGUGCCCGCAAGGGAACUUGAAAACAGGUGUUGCAUGGUUGUCGUCAGCUCGUGCCUUGAGGUGUUCGGUUAAGUCCGUUAACGAGCGCAACCCAUGUCGUUAGUUAUUAUGUCUAACGAGACUGCUCGAGUUAAUCGAGAGGAAGGUGUGGAUGACGUCAAAUCAGCAUGACCCUUAUGUCUAGGGCUACACACAUGAUACAAUGGUCGGUACAAAGGGUUGCCAAGUGGUAACAUGGAGCCAAUCCCAGAAAGCCGAUCUCAGUCCAGAUUGAGGGCUGCAACUCGCCCUCAUGAAGUUGGAAUUGCUAGUAAUCGUGAAUCAGCUAUGUCACGGUGAAUCUGUUCCCGGGUCUUGUACACACCGCCCGU
RNAcentral lists this ribosomal RNA (486 nucleotides) under uncultured bacterium. RNAcentral's name for it is "partial 16S ribosomal RNA". It matches the Rfam family "Bacterial small subunit ribosomal RNA", at positions 899 to 1397 of the family's 1533-position model. The record is from RNAcentral.